UGAAUCUACAAAAGGAGUCAACUGCAGC
This 28-nucleotide small RNA is filed under the name Bombyx mori (domestic silkworm). RNAcentral's name for it is "ovarian small RNA-3561". The record is from RNAcentral. Lineage: Eukaryota; Metazoa; Arthropoda; Insecta; Lepidoptera; Bombycidae.